UUUUACAGAAGUUGGUAUUGCAGCAACAAGUAAUCGUUUUAGUUUUGUGUUCUUUGCUGUCUGCUUGUCCUGACGCACCGAUUCACUGCAUUUUCCAGCAGAGAUCACAGGCUGGGAGGAUGACAGCUCGAAUGUAUUUCUCGUUGAUUGCUGUUUUUUUCUGUCUGUUUGGAUACUUCAGCAUAGCUCGCGCUAUUCAAAGACGAACCACAGUGGAUGGUUUCUGUCCGGAGAGGCUGAUGGUCGAACCAUCCCAUCGAGGCUGUUCCUCUGAUGAAGACUGCCCUGGAGGGCACAAAUGCUGUCGAUUUGAAUUUGGGCCUGUUUGCGUGCUGCCUGUUUUCAUGAAGCCAGGUCAAUGUCCCAUACCGGAGAUGAUCCCACUCUGUGCUGAUAGCUGUUU
Carassius auratus (goldfish) is the source of this 403-nucleotide long non-coding RNA. RefSeq lists it as uncharacterized. The transcript is spliced from 3 exons. The record is from RefSeq and is a predicted model, not a curated record. NCBI's taxonomy places the organism in Eukaryota, Metazoa, Chordata, Actinopteri, Cypriniformes, Cyprinidae.